This 266-nucleotide long non-coding RNA is filed under the name Rattus norvegicus (Norway rat). RNAcentral's name for it is "long non-coding RNA NONRATT032895". The record is from RNAcentral. Lineage: Eukaryota; Metazoa; Chordata; Mammalia; Rodentia; Muridae.
UUUAAAAUAGUUGAUACUUUUGUUCUCCUUUUGUUUUAGACAGGGUUUUGUUAUGUAAUCCUUGAAAUCAAGUCAGUCUUCCUACCUCAACUUCACAUGCCUUGGAAUAACAGACCUCUGCUGCUACAACUCCAUUAACAAUGGAUAUUGGGAAAGAAGAGUGAUCUUACGUGAUCCACAUGUAGGAUUUUAAAAUCUGGCUCUGAAGAUACAUGACUAUCCCAAGAUACCAAGCCACAGUAAUGCUGGAUCCUGGAACAGACCAC